RNAcentral lists this ribosomal RNA (477 nucleotides) under uncultured bacterium. RNAcentral describes it as "partial 16S ribosomal RNA". It matches the Rfam family "Bacterial small subunit ribosomal RNA", at positions 29 to 507 of the family's 1533-position model. The record is from RNAcentral.
AUGAACGCUGGCGGCGUGCUUAACACAUGCAAGUCGAACGGGAAUUAUUUUAUUGAAACUUCGGUCGAUUUAAUUUAAUUCUAGUGGCGGACGGGUGAGUAACGCGUGGGUAACCUGCCUUAUACAGGGGGAUAACAGUGAGAAAUGGCUGCUAAUACCGCAUAAGCGCACAGAGCUGCAUGGCUCAGUGUGAAAAACUCCGGUGGUAUAAGAUGGACCCGCGUUGGAUUAGCUGGUUGGUGGGGUAACGGCCCACCAAGGCGACGAUCCAUAGCCGGCCUGAGAGGGUGAACGGCCACAUUGGGACUGAGACACGGCCCAGACUCCUACGGGAGGCAGCAGUGGGGAAUAUUGCACAAUGGGGGAAACCCUGAUGCAGCGACGCCGCGUGAAGGAAGAAGUAUCUCGGUAUGUAAACUUCUAUCAGCAGGGAAGAUAGUGACGGUACCUGACUAAGAAGCCCCGGCUAACUACGUG